GAUUCGCUCCUAUAGGCCUCAUCAGGAUGUUCAAUUCAGGUGGAGCGGUCAAAGAAGUAGGUUAUGAAAAGGUUGAUGCGGGGAACAUACGCAUCAAAACACGGGGAUGUGGUACUUUUGGAGCCUAUUCAUCAGUCAGACCCAAAAGAAUCACAGUUGACACAGAGGAAGUCCAGUUUCAUUUUGAAGAAGCCUCUGGAUUGGUAACCCUCGAUCUCUCAGUCCCAGAGAGAGAGUUGUACCUCUGGACCAUCAACAUUGAAGUCUAAACAAUUAGUUACAGCAUUGAAGGCCGGGCCCCAUUAAUUUAGAACUCUGUAAACCUCCUUUAACACAACUACUAUUUCGUUGCAACGGUAAAAGAUGGCAUGCCCAAAAAUCAGCGGAUGGUUUUGGAUUGGAUAGGCUCUAUAUGUUUCGCAAACCCAUCAUCUCGAAGAACCUUUUGCUUCAUACUCCUAGAUUUUUUACCAUUUCAUCUUAUGAACGAGACAAAGAUAUUCCAUAACGAAAAUAAUGUUGGAAUGUAUGCCCUAAAACAAUGUAUUUGUUUUUAUAUUAUACAUUCCUUAUUAUAUGUUUUGUAUUUUAAUAACUUCUUAUUUAUCUGUUAAAUACUCUAUUAGAUACAACCGAUAAAGUCCUUAUAAUAUUACUAAUGUGAUGAUAGUCACAAGAGUUGGUGACUAUGAGAUAUCAAUCACAUUUAUAGUAAUAUUAUUAAAAUUCCCUAGUUUUUGUACUAAUGAAAUAGGACGUCUUUAGUACGGUAAAACUAGUACACAGUUAGCCUCUAAUUAAUGUAAUUAGUGGUUGUUCUCAUCAACUAUGGUAUGAAGAUACUUAGGCUAAUGUAUAGAUGAUUUGAAAAGUACAAAUGCAUUGGAGUGAUCCGUUUAGAGAUCCCGUCAGGAUAUCUAUCUAGUGCCAAUGGUGUAUCUCUAGUGAAAAAUUGUGUAAGUGAUCCUACGACUUGAGAUCACCAUAGUAUCUUGAGUGUGAAUCGCUACAUUUUGACUCUAUUUACUUGUUACUCUUCGUGAGUACCUUAAAGUGUAGAAGUUGGAUGUAGUGUGAAGCACAUAAAGAAAAUGGGUGAUCAAGAUAGGAUUUACCACUCUGAUAGAAGGAGUUGAUAUCCGGAUGGCCACUAGUGAGAAAUUAACCCUAAAGUCGACUAUUAGGUAAAUUGAAGAAUGUCUUCAAUUUAACCUAAUUAAGGGUAAAUUUCGGGAACUAGAAAAUUUAAUUAGUCAUCAGGGAAUUGACACUUAUUCCUUAUUCCUGACUAAUUGGAUUUCUUUGGUGAAAGGAUAAUAAUUACACGGUAAUUUUUCACGGAAAGGUUAGGUCAAAUUCCCUUGACUAAUUCCGAAUAAUUGGGCAAUCACGAUGUGUUGCUAGACACCGCUCGUGAUUUAUAAUUAUGGAUUAAUUAUAUAUUAUAAGUUAUGAUAAAAUAAAGUCGUUUAUUUUAUCUAAUUAUUAAACCAUAAUUAUUACCAAUGUAUUCGGGACCUAUUGGGUCACACGCAAUAGCACCCUUCAUUUUUGAAGUUGUUGUAAUCGCUAAUAACGCCUUGUGACAUAUUUGCAGUUUACUAAAGAUUUGGAAUCUCAAUGAUUUGAAUGGAGUGAUUGGAGUGUUCAACUGUCAAGGGGCUAGAUGGUGUAGAAUUGGAAAGAGAAACCUCAUUCACGACGAACGACCGGAUACAAUAACUGGAACCGUUCGGGCUAAUGAUGUGGACUACUUACCAAGAAUUGCUCCUGAUGGAUGGAGAGGCGAUGCUGUUGUCUAUUCUCAUAUUCAUGGUGGAACUGAAACACGCGCCCGCCCUUUUUCAUCAAAGGCUUAGUUGAAUUUUUCUUUAAUUUGCUUUGUUAUCUACUGCAGGAAAUCUAGUCUACCUUCCAAGCAAUGCUGCUCUGCCAAUUACACUGAUGGCACGGGAGUACGAGGUUUUCACGGUUGUUCCUGUCAAGGAAACAUCAAAUGGUUCUCGAUUCGCUCCUAUAGGCCUCAUCAGGAUGUUCAAUUCAGGUGGAGCGGUCAAAGAAGUAGGUUAUGAAAAGGUUGAUGCGGGGAACAUACGCAUCAAAACACGGGGAUGUGGUACUUUUGGAGCCUAUUCAUCAGUCAGACCCAAAAGAAUCACAGUUGACACAGAGGAAGUCCAGUUUCAUUUUGAAGAAGCCUCUGGAUUGGUAACCCUCGAUCUCUCAGUCCCAGAGAGAGAGUUGUACCUCUGGACCAUCAACAUUGAAGUCUAAACAAUUAGUUACAGCAUUGAAGGCCGGGCCCCAUUAAUUUAGAACUCUGUAAACCUCCUUUAACACAACUACUAUUUCGUUGCAACGGUAAAAGAUGGCAUGCCCAAAAAUCAGCGGAUGGUUUUGGAUUGGAUAGGCUCUAUAUGUUUCGCAAACCCAUCAUCUCGAAGAACCUUUUGCUUCAUACUCCUAGAUUUUUUACCAUUUCAUCUUAUGAACGAGACAAAGAUAUUCCAUAACGAAAAUAAUGUUGGAAUGUAUGCCCUAAAACAAUGUAUUUGUUUUUAUAUUAUACAUUCCUUAUUAUAUGUUUUGUAUUUUAAUAACUUCU
Molecule: long non-coding RNA, 2605 nt
Filed under: Coffea arabica (coffee)
Lineage: Eukaryota; Viridiplantae; Streptophyta; Magnoliopsida; Gentianales; Rubiaceae
Description: long non-coding RNA (CARA_LNC003634)
Source: RNAcentral